CUAGCAACUGGCAUCGCAUCCCCACUGUCUCCAGCCCCUCGACUGCUGUUCCCUCUCUUUCUGCCUGUGCUUCCUCUCCCCAGCUCAACGUGGCUCUGUUGAGGUCACCUUGCUGCAUCUCGCCUCUUUCCCUCCACGGCUUGGAUCUAUUAUCCCUGGGAAGUACUCCACCUGUGGGAGUCUAUCUGCCUCUCUGCCAUGAUCCAGUCUCUCCCAGACCUUUCAGCUCCCUCAUUAAAUAUUGAACAAAAAAUUAAUGGGCACCUGGUGUGCAGGAGGGACUGUGCAAUCGACUGCGAUACAGUGAAGAGUCACAUAGACAUGGCCCCUUCUCACGGAGACCUGCACCUGGGGCAGAGCACAGCGAUCCAAUAAUGACUUACCUAAAGGCUUAGUUACAACCAAGGCAAGUGUCGUGAAGAAAGCACCGCUUCACAUCCCCCACAUCUUCCAGGUCUGGUGCUGGAGAGGAGGGCGUAGCCUCCAUGUAGCCCUCAGUGAACGACAGACCCGAGGCAUCCACCAAUGCUCAUUAAAGUGGUUUCCAAGCGUUCCAGAAUAUGUGGGAGAAAAUAUACCCUUGGAAAUGUUGAAAUGUUUUAUAAGCAAGCACAUCCAGUUCCUGGGCAGCUCCAACUUGCUUGGCUCUCAUUUGCCCGACGGCUCAGCUGCAAUGCUGCCAAGGAAAACAGUCAUUGAAAGUCACACAGGAAGGAUGCCUUUCCCAGCUUCUCCCUCACGCCUCUCGGUGGUACCAUGUGGGUCACUCUUGCUGUGGAAGGUGAGCAGGAGUGCCACGCCACUUCCAGUUUGUGGCUGUGUAGAUCAGGCGCCUUCUCUGUCUUCUCUCUCUUUUCCACUCACGUGACUAGAGGGAAGGAACUCCAAGAUGGUGAAAUACCAAGAAGGAAGGAGACCCUGAAUGAUUUUGGAGGAGGACCAGGCAGGAAAGCCACCUGACCCACAAGAGCAAGACAGAAUCCUAGGCUGAGUGAAGCCAUUGAGAUUUCAGGAUUUAUCCUUAGGGCAGUUGCCUUUGCUUACUCUGACUAAUACAUUCAAUGUUCUCCUCUAUGAACUCCUGACAAUACAACACUAUUUCCAGUGAGUGAAGUGUUCAGAGAGAAGGGUGUGUGCAAAUUCAUGGCUAAGUUUCAAUCAAUCCGCUAUAAAUUGAUAUGGUUUGGGGCAAAUGGGAAGAAGAGGAUAUUCAGUUGUUGUUAUUUAUAUUGUCAUGUAUAGGAUGCUGUUAUUUCCUUGAUUCUCUCUUCUUUGGGCAAAGAGCAGACUCAUACUCAGAGGAUAAGUCUGAGAGCAGAUAGGAAAUGAAUUCCACAGUCAUCUUUAUAUAUUGGUCUCUUUUCAGGCCCAGCCCAGUGAGAUUGGAUCUGAUUGUUUGUUGGUGUCAUUUAUGUCUGCAAUAGAUGUCUAAGAAUACAGCAUAAAGAUGCCCAGGUGCUCAGCCCUGCACUGAGCUGGAGAGAGGGCCGAAGGCUCACCUUUCAUGCAUUGCCAUGGACCUCGCAGCCACGGAGCAGGGAGGGGUUGACAACACCAGGAGCUCAGCCUGACACCUUCCACUCAUGUCUCCUCGGACCCUUCCUGUGCUAAUUAUGAUCCUUCUUGGAAAUAAAAAACCAAACAUUUGAUGGCAGAUACAGACAAUGAAAUCCUAUCCAGCUUUAAAAAGGAAGAGUAUUCUCACACAUGCUACAGUGUGGAUGAGCCUUGAGGACAUCAUGCUGAGUGAAAUCAGCCAGCUACAAAGGACAAACACUGUGGGAUUCCACUCAUAUGAGGUUCCUAGAAGAGGUGAAUUCAUAAAUACCAAAAACAGAAAGGUGGUUGCCAGGGGCUGGAGGGAGGGAGGGAGGGAGGGAGGAAGGAAUGGGGAGUGAAUGGGACAGAGUUUCAGUUGGGAAGAUGAGAAAGCUCUGGAGAUGGGUGGUGGUGAUGGUAGCACAACAAUGUGAACAUACUUAACACCACCAAACUGCUCAUUUAAUAAUGGUUAAAAUGGUAAAAUUUGUGUUAAGUAUUGUUUACCAUAAUAAAACUUAAAAAAAAAAAACAAAACAGAAACCAUUUGCACAGCCUCUCUUACAUGGAGGAAGGUGACCUGGAGGGGUAGAGAAACAUGGUUAGUGUCAUGGGAACACAAAGGAAUGUGACAAUCCUGUCUUUGAGGAGCUUGCAGGUUGUGGGGGGAGAGAUGGAUUUGACAACAAUAAUUGGGAAAACGCAGAUGCAGAAGGAGGGAAAGAGGGAGGCUGAAUCAGAACUCAGAGGAAGGAGCUGUUGGAGUCUGAGGGCUCAGGGCAGGAAUUCUGGAAGAAGAAAUGCUUGCCUGGGGCUCCCAAGGUGUAUUAGUCUGUUUUUAAACUGCUGAUAAAGACAUACCUGAAGCUGGGAAAUUUACAAAAGAAAGAGGUUUAUUGGACAUACAGUUCCAUGUGGCCUGGGAGGCCUCACAAUCAUGGUGGAAGGUGAAAGGCACGUCUCACAUGGUGGCAGACAAGAGAAGAGAACUUGUGCAGGGAAACUCUGCUUUUAAAAAUCAUCAUAUCCUGUGAGAGUUAUUCACUAUCAUGAGAACAGCACAGGAAAGACCAGUCCCUAUGAUUCAAUUACCUCCCACUGGGUGCCUCGCACAACACGUGUGAAUCCACAAUUAGAUUUUGGUGAGGACACAGCCAAACCAUAUCACAUGGUCUGGUGGGAUCUUGCAUUUUGAAGAGUGGGAGUGAGGCUGAGCUCAGCGAGGUGGGGACCAGAGCAAAACACUUGCUGGGGGCUGGUGCUGAGGCCCUGGAGGAGCAACCUAGGCAGAAGAGUGGGUUCCUAAGGAGAGCGGAGGGAGGUUGUGGUGGCUACAGACCAUGGGAGUCCUGACUUUUUUUUUUUUUUUAAUGAACUUUCUAAUUUUGGAAUAAAUUUAGAAUUACCAAAAAGUUGCAAAGAUAAUGCAGAGAGGUCCCAUAUACCCCUCAGCCAGUUUCCCCUAGGGUUAAGAUCUUACAUUACUGUGGUACAUUUGUACAACUAAUGAGCCAAUAUUGAUAUAUUCUUAACUAAAGUCCUCACGUUAUUAAGAUUUCAUUAGUUUUCCCUACUGUCCUUUUGCAGGAUUCCAUCCAGAAUACCCAACUUGCACCCAUCCAAAGUCGCAAAGCUAUCCCAGUACACUCCACAAUCAGUUUCCCUUAUUAUUAUGAAUAUCUCAUAUUAGGGUGGUACAUUUGUUACAAUUAAUGAACCAGUAUUGAUACAUUAUCAUUAAUAAAA
This 3285-nucleotide long non-coding RNA is filed under the name Macaca fascicularis (crab-eating macaque). RNAcentral describes it as "lncRNA (ENSMFAG00000062715.1)". The record is from RNAcentral. Lineage: Eukaryota; Metazoa; Chordata; Mammalia; Primates; Cercopithecidae.